CCAUGACCCUAAGACUAAAAAAACAAUGGCUCCUCCUUGGGUCUCCAGCUCCAUGACCUUAAAACAAGAACAAUACCACUCAUCCCCAGGUCUCCAGGUACACGCCCUGAAAACUAGAACAACACCGGCUCCUCCCUGAGUUUCCAGCUCCACGAUCCUUAAACUAGAACAACAGCGCUCCUCCCUAGGUCUGCAGCUUCACGACCCUCAAACUAAAAAAACAGCGGCUGCUCCCCGGGUCUCCAGCUCCACGACUCUCAAAUUAGAAUGAAACUGGCUCCUCCCCAGGUCUCCAGCUUCACGACACUCAAACCAGAACAACAGUACCAGCUCCUCCCCGGGUCUCCGGCUCCACGACCCUCAAACUAGAACAACACCGGCUCCUCCUCGGAUCUCCAGCUCCAUGACCCUCAAAGAAGAUCAACACCGGCUCCUCCCCAGGUUUCCAGCUCCAUGUCCCUCAAACUAGAACAACAGCACCAGCUCCUCCCCAGGCCUCCAGCUCCAGGACCCUCAGACUUGAACAGCAGCAUCAGCUCCUCCCCAGAUCUUUAGCUCCACAACCCUCAAACUAAAACAGCAUCACCAGCUCCUCCCUGGGUCUCCAGCUCUAUGACCCUCAAACUACAACGGGAGCACAAGCUCCUCCCUGGAGCCCCAGUUCAAUGACUCUCAGACCUGAAAGGCAGCAACACUCUUCCCCAAGGCUCCAGCUCCAUUACCCUCAGAUUUGAACAGCAGUAGCAUCAGCUCCUCCCUGGGUCUCCAGCUCCUCAACCCUCAAACUAGAACAGCAGCACCAGCUCCAUCCGGAUCUCCAGAUCCAUUACCCUAAUACAUCAGUGGGUUCUUUCCCGGUGCUCCAGUUCCAUGAUACUCAAACUAGAACAGCAGCACCAGCUCCUCCCUGAGUCUUCAGCUCCACGACCCUCAAACUAGGAGAACACCAGCUCCUCCCCAGGUCCCCAGCUC
This 972-nucleotide long non-coding RNA is filed under the name Pan troglodytes (chimpanzee). RNAcentral's name for it is "long non-coding RNA NONPTRT014863". Lineage: Eukaryota; Metazoa; Chordata; Mammalia; Primates; Hominidae. The record is from RNAcentral.